This 83-nucleotide transfer RNA is filed under the name Tepidisphaera sp. Its description in RNAcentral is "tRNA-Tyr". It matches the Rfam family "tRNA". From Rfam's summary of the family: Transfer RNA (tRNA) molecules are approximately 80 nucleotides in length. Their secondary structure includes four short double-helical elements and three loops (D, anti-codon, and T loops). Lineage: Bacteria; Pseudomonadati; Planctomycetota; Phycisphaerae; Tepidisphaerales; Tepidisphaeraceae. RNAcentral also lists the same sequence under 1 other name. The record is from RNAcentral.
GGGCGAGUUCCGGAGUGGCCAAACGGGACAGAUUGUAAAUCUGUUGGCUUACGCCUUCGGGGGUUCGAAUCCCUCCUCGCCCA